Molecule: non-coding RNA, 693 nt
Organism: Pelobates cultripes (western spadefoot toad)
Lineage: Eukaryota; Metazoa; Chordata; Amphibia; Anura; Pelobatidae
Source: the annotation of a GenBank genome assembly
CUCCCACAUAAAGUUUAUUGCAAAAGUUUCUAUGACAAAGUUGUGCGAGUUCAUGCUAAGGUUUUUGUUGUAUGACAUUGCCAAAUGACAUAAUCAGAUUUUAUCAACAGAAUAUGUCACGAAAGGUUAUUUGCGCUCAAUACACUAUAUGCCAGUAAUACUCAAUUGUGUUACGUAACAAUGUCCGUGCAUUUCUCCUCUGGAUAGUUUUAUGGAGAGACUGAAAAACAACCCACAAAAAUGAAUCUAAAGUAAUACUGAAUUAUAAUUUCUCAUCAAAUUUCUUGCAUGUUUAUUUACAUUAUCUUACUAAAAGCAGGGAAAUAUAUAUAUUACAACAAAUGUACAAUUGAGGUAAACUUAAAGCACGUACAAUGAACAAAAAAUGUAAACCGCUGAAGUAAAAGGUACCUGGUAAAAGUACCUGGUAACACUAACACUAAUAUAGUUAUGUGCUCAAUUCCAAAUUCUAGUGAAUUACAUUCAAAAUAUAAAAUUGAGGAUAAAAAGUCUGCAACUAUAUGUGAGAAGGAGAAUUGUUCCUGAGCAGCUAUUUUAGCCUCAAUAUUGCAAUUUUGGAUGUAAUUUGCUGAAAUUCUCAAUUUAGUGAAUUUACUCUACAAAUCAUUUUUGUAUUUUUAUUUUUAAUUAACAUAUUUAGCAUUUCAUUUAAAUAACUGCAACAUUUAUUUU